This 3550-nucleotide long non-coding RNA is filed under the name Sus scrofa (pig). RNAcentral describes it as "lncRNA (ENSSSCG00005038885.1)". The record is from RNAcentral. Lineage: Eukaryota; Metazoa; Chordata; Mammalia; Artiodactyla; Suidae.
GGGCCAUUCCUGAGGCAAAAGGAGGUUCCCAGGCUAGGGGUUCAAUUGGAGCUGUAGCCACCGGCCUACACCACAGCCACAGCAACAUGGGAUCUGAGCUGCGUCUGCGAUCUACACCACACAGCUCACAGCAAUGCUGGAUCGUUAACCCACUGAGUGAGGCCAGGGAUCGAACCCGCGUCCUCAUGGUACUAGUCGAUUAAUCGACCGCAGAGCCACGACGGGAACUCCUAGAAUUCUUAAUAAAGCCUCCCAGUGGUUUUUGAUGCGGCUGGUCUGCCAGGUGAACAUGCUGGUGAGCUAAUCCAAAUUAGGCCCCUUCACCCCUGGGAACACACCGGAGCCUGCACUGCCUCAGGUGGAAGUUAACAAGACAACACGUACUGGACCAGCAAACCAGUCUCCCACCUACAAAUGUGCCCAAUGCAAUGCAGGACAUCACCUUUUUAAACACCUGCUGCUGGCUGGCACCAACGGGCUGUAUCUGUCAUUUUUAUAAACAGCGUUAAGGAUACAGACAUGGUUAAUUCUGGUGAUAAAGUGACCUGACAGAGCCUGCAUAUCAGCUACCGCCUAUGACACCAAUGCACAGAGGUGCAUCAAAAGGGCUGGCUCCUCCGUGAAGACUCUCGCCAAACUCACUCGUAAAAUUCAUUCGAAGGAGCCUAAAUGUGAAUGCAGAAGGUAGGAGGAUUAAACACCUCUAAGCUGAAAGUUUCGAGAAACUUCUGGACGGAUUUCGUAAAUUAAAGAGGAGAGUUUGAUCCAGGUUCCUCAGCCUGAGCAGCACGUACCAAGACUGGACUCCAGGCACUUUGUUACUGAUCCCACCACGUGUGAGCGCUUGGUACCAAAACCUUAUCCCAAACAUAAAGGCCAAAGGCAUCGGGUGAAGAGAGCGAACUGUUCUUUCUCAGACCACACCUUUGCUGAGGAAGCCAUCGCACCAUCACCCAAACUUCCUUUUUCCUUCUCCACACAUAAAAUGCAGUUAACUCGCGUGUGUUUGGGGAACUUAAAAGCAAAAGCCAGUAUCUGUACGUGUGGGUGACACUGAACACUGCCCUCUGCGGGGUGCACCUGCUGACAAUGGAGGCAGGGGGUGUCCUGGGGUUCAAGGCCCACCACCUAUUUACAGAUCGUAUUAACAGGACCCCUAUCUGGCUUCCUCGCCUGCAGACAAUUAACACAAGGAUACCUGAAGGCUGCCAGGGAAUACAAUCUCCGUAAAUAAUAGAUGAGAAGGGAGACAGGUGUACAUCCUUCUCCAGAAAUGCUUAAGUCACACCUCAGGCUCUGGUUCCCUGUGCGCCUGAACUCUGAGGGUGUCCCUUUGCCACAACAAACAGGGAGGGGAGUGGGAUGGACUGGGAGUUUGGGGUUAAUACAUGCAAACCGUUUCUUUUACAAGGGAUAGACAAUGAGGUCCUACCGUAUAGAGCACAGGGAACUAUAUCCAAUCUCCUGGAAUAGAUCAUGAUGGAAAAGAGUGAAAAAAGGUCUAUAUAUGUAUGACUGAGUCACUCUGCUGUUCAGUGGAAAUUGGCACAACACUGUAAAUCAACAAUACUUUAAUUAAAAAUAGUUAAAAAUUAAAUAAAUAAAAGGAAGUAGUGGAUAUGUUAGACCUCAGACAGCGAACGCCUGCGCAACAGAGCCACACUUUCCUGCAUCCAAGACGGACGCCGGGCACUCAGCCCAGCCUCUAUCCCUGAGCAUGACCCUGCCUGGGAAGACGCUCACAGCACCCCGACAGCUGUGCCCCUUGCACAGCUGGAAACCUACUUGCCAACCCCGGCUUGGAAAGACCUCUUCGAAAACAGAAAAAAGAACAAGGAAGUUGACACCUGGGAGCAAGGUUGAAUUCUCUGGACCAGGCAGUUUAUCUGGAUCUGCUCCUUCCCUAUGGUUGGUGGGGGAGGCACUCGCCAUGCCAGGCCUGGCUGAGACCGAUCAGCACCAUCUCUGGGAGCACAUGAACUGGACCGGGACCAGGAGGGAGCAGGACCUGUGUUUACCUCCAGCGUGUUUUGAAUUCCUUCAAACUAGCUGGUGCCUCCUGUCCACACCUGGGCAGAUGGGUACGAAUAAGUCACGUCUCCCUGCUUUUUCAUUAAAGGGGAUGAACCGGGGCACAGACUCAGAACCAGAGAUGGAGCCAGACGGCUGGACUUGUUUCUGGGCUCUCCUCUUUCUAGCCAUGACCUUGGGCAAAUCCCUUCACCUCUGUGCUGCAGCUUCCCCAUGUGUAAGACAGGAGAACACGCAAGUGUUUAUUUCGUAGGGUUGUUAAAAUGAUCAAAUGGAGCAAUAUGUGUAAGGACCUGAAAAUAGUGGCUAGCAAACUCUUUCAAGCAUUGGUGACCAUUCUUACAUUUUUUAUUAUUUCAAUGGGCUGGGAUCCUUUGGUUAAGUUUUCAUGGUUUCACAGAGCUAAGAAAUGUUUCCUUCUGAACCCAGCUUUUUUUUUUUUUUGUCUUUUUGCCUUUUCUAGGGCCUCUCCCACAGCAUGUGGAAGUUCCCAGGCUAGGGGUCGAAUCGGAGCUGUAGCCGCCAGCCUAUGCCAGAGCCACAGCAACCAGGGAUCCGAGUCGCGUCUGCAACCUACACCACAGCUCACGGCAACACCUGAUCCUUAACCCACUGAGCAAGGCCAGGGAUCGAACCCGCAACCUCAUGGUUCUUGGUCGGAUUUGUUAACCACUGAGCCACGGCGGUAACUCCUGAACUCCGCUUUUUAAAAUGUACAUCUUGACUUUGAAAUCCAGAACCAAGAGAAAAAGUUGUACGGAGGGAUGACAGAAUGAGAACAAUCACCUUUCUUCCUCGCUGUGAUUUGAAAAGGGCUUUCCUAUUUCAUUCUCUUUAUGUAAUGGGAGGAAGGGAGCAGUAUGGUCAGUGUCUUGAGACACAGCGUGGGGCCCUAGGGCCACUGGAAGCAGAGCCAGUUGUUACGGCCACUCGAGUGCCUCUCCAGGUGGAGGCAGAGGGAAGGUUCUGGCCACUGCAACCUGUGAGGCCCUGGAAUCUGGAACGUGGCAAGUCAGCUCUGAGCACCAGCCACAACUGUGACAAACUAGAUUCAGGAGGGCACUUCCCAGUAAUACCAGCAGCAAUGACUAGGGCACAGCAGGCACACCUGUGGGCCCCACAGGCCCUUCCGCUGUCUUCACAGCCAUCCUUCCUGUUAGAUAAGAGUGUUUAUGGCCUUUUACAGAGAGGAAAGUAGGGGCUCAGAGAGGUUAAGUUUACUUGCCCAAGGUGACAGCGCUAACAAGCAGCAGAGCAGGAUUCCAGUAUUUUAUUCAUUCAACAAAUAUUUACCAAGCAGCUAUGUGCCAGGCACUGUGGGAGAUGCUGGACAUGCAGCAGUGGACAAAGCAAAGGUCCUGCCAGGGGGAGCUUUCAUUCUAGGGUGGGGAAUAUUUAGUAAACAAAUCUAACAAAUGGAGACCAGAAUGUCUAGACGAGUGAAGCGCCUUCAAGAACUCCAGAGUUGAGGGCAGGGAGGGAGCCAGGGGCAGUACUUUGGAUGGGACGAUAUGCUUAU